CCUACGGGAGGCAGCAGUGGGGAAUCUUGGACAAUGGGCGCAACCUGAUCCAGCCAUGCCGCGUGAGUGAAGAAGGCCUUCGGGUUGUAAAGCUCUUUUACCAGGGACGCGGUACCUGGAGAAUAAGCCCCGGCAAACUUCGUGCCAGCAGCCGCGGUAAUACGAAGGGGGCUAGCGUUGUUCGGAAUUACUGGGCGUAAAGCGCACGUAGGCGGAUUGUUAAGUCAGAGGUGAAAUCCCGGAGCUCAACUCGGAACUGCCUUUGAUACUGGCAAUCUAGAGUCCGGAAGAGGUUAGUGGAAUUCCCAGUGUAGAGGUGAAAUUCGUAGAUAUUGGGAAGAACACCAGUGGCGAAGGCGGCUAACUGGUCGGACUGACGCUGAGGUGCGAAACGUGGGGAGCAAACAGGAUUAGAUACCCUUGUAGUC
This 428-nucleotide ribosomal RNA is filed under the name uncultured bacterium. RNAcentral's name for it is "partial 16S ribosomal RNA". It matches the Rfam family "Bacterial small subunit ribosomal RNA", at positions 338 to 795 of the family's 1533-position model. The record is from RNAcentral.